Phrynosoma platyrhinos (Desert horned lizard) is the source of this 72-nucleotide non-coding RNA. NCBI's taxonomy places the organism in Eukaryota, Metazoa, Chordata, Lepidosauria, Squamata, Phrynosomatidae. The record is from the annotation of a GenBank genome assembly.
GCCAGUGUGGUGUAGUGAUUUGAGUAUUGGACUAUGACUCUGGAGUCCUAGGUUCGAAUACUGGCUCAGACA